Molecule: long non-coding RNA, 550 nt
Organism: Saccostrea cuccullata (small rock oyster)
Lineage: Eukaryota; Metazoa; Mollusca; Bivalvia; Ostreida; Ostreidae
Exons: 3
Source: RefSeq, a predicted model, not a curated record
UGGAUUGAUUGAUACAGGUAAACAACGUUAAAUCGCUUUAUUGUUUUAGUAAAUUACGUACAUACAAGCUAUUCCAAAUGGGUAACGAGCAUUUUAUAGCAUAAAAAAGAUGCUCACUUCUAGGAUGUUUCCAAGUUCUUGUUAAAAGUGUUUUAUAUGGCACCAUUCAGCUACAAAUAUUUUGCCAGUGGAACUGUGACAUCAAUCAACUGCUCAUGCACUGCUAAUUGGCAGAGAAUUUCCUUUGGGAGAAGCAAACUGUUUCAAACAUUUUACACCUGCAAGUAGUGAUGAGUGUACUGGAAGGUUUUUAGGAUCUCUUCCAACAUCAUAGGUACAACUGGUCACUGUGCUUGCUUGGUUAUAUAAGCCGGCAUAUUGUUAAGGCAGUGACAUAUGUAGCUCCAAAUGAUGCUUGACUGUUUUUCUUCAAAUUAUAAGUAAACCCGGAUUGAUCUCUGAUGCAGUAAUAUUGUGCCAUGUCCAUUUUUUAAAUUCUAUCUUCCCACUGUCACAAAGUACUGAAAUAAAAAUGAUUUGAUUUUAAAUA